GGCGAACCGUGCGAACGUUAUUCGGAAUCAUUGGGCUUAAAGGGCGCGUAGGCGGCGGCGUAAGUUGGAAGUGAAAUCCCAUCGGCUCAACCGUGGAAUCGCUCCCAGUACUGCGUCGCUCGAGGGGGAUAGGGGUCUGCGGAACUACCGGUGGAGCGGUGAAAUGUGUUGAUAUCGGUGGGAACGCCAGUGGCGAAAGCGGCAGACUUGACCCUUCCUGACGCUGAGGCGCGAAAGCUAGGGGAGCAAACGGG
Molecule: ribosomal RNA, 254 nt
Filed under: uncultured bacterium
Lineage: Bacteria
Description: partial 16S ribosomal RNA
Rfam family: Bacterial small subunit ribosomal RNA
Source: RNAcentral